This 334-nucleotide unclassified non-coding RNA is filed under the name soil metagenome. Its description in RNAcentral is "partial contains 5.8S ribosomal RNA, internal transcribed spacer 2, and large subunit ribosomal RNA". The stretch from base 1 to 120 matches the Rfam family "5.8S ribosomal RNA", at positions 35 to 154 of the family's 154-position model. The record is from RNAcentral.
GAUGAAGAACGUAGCGAAAUGCGAUAAGUAAUGUGAAUUGCAGAAUUCAGUGAAUCAUCGAAUCUUUGAACGCACAUUGCGCCCGCCAGUAUUCUGGCGGGCAUGCCUGUUCGAGCGUCAUUUCAACCAUCAAGCCCUGCUUGCGUUGGGGUCCUGCGGCUGCCCGCAGGCCCUGAAAACCAGUGGCGGGCUCGCUAGUCACACCGAGCGCAGUAAUACAUCUCGCUUUGGGCGUGCGGCGGGUUCUUGCCGUUAAACACCCCCUUUUUACCAAGGUUGACCUCAGAUCAGGUAGGAAUACCCGCUGAACUUAAGCAUAUCAAUAAGCGGAGGA